GACGAACGCUGGCGGCGUGCUUAACACAUGCAAGUCGAGCGGUAAGGCCCUUUCGGGGGUACACAGCGGCGAACGGGUGAGUAACACGUGGGUGACCUGCCCUUAGCUCUGGGAUAAGCCUGGGAAACUGGGUCUAAUACCGGAUAUGACUCCAUGACGCAUGUUGUGGGGUGGAAANCCCUUGUGCGGCUAGGGAUGGGCCCGCGGCCUAUCAGCUUGUUGGUGGGGUGAUGGCCUGCCAAAGGCGACGACGGUAGCCGGCCUGAGAGGGCGACCGGCCACACUGGGACUGAGACACGGCCCAGACUCCUACGGGAGGCAGCAGUGGGGAAUCUUGCGCAAU
This 343-nucleotide ribosomal RNA is filed under the name uncultured bacterium. Its description in RNAcentral is "bacterial SSU rRNA". It matches the Rfam family "Bacterial small subunit ribosomal RNA", at positions 28 to 372 of the family's 1533-position model. The record is from RNAcentral.